Molecule: ribosomal RNA, 465 nt
Filed under: uncultured Klebsiella sp.
Lineage: Bacteria; Pseudomonadati; Pseudomonadota; Gammaproteobacteria; Enterobacterales; Enterobacteriaceae
Description: bacterial SSU rRNA
Rfam family: Bacterial small subunit ribosomal RNA
Source: RNAcentral
CCUACGGGUGGCAGCAGUGGGGAGUAUUGCACAAUGGGCGCAAGCCUGAUGCAGCCAUGCCGCGUGUGUGAAGAAGGCCUUCGGGUUGUAAAGCACUUUCAGCGGGGAGGAAGGCGGUGAGGUUAAUAACCUCAUCGAUUGACGUUACCCGCAGAAGAAGCACCGGCUAACUCCGUGCCAGCAGCCGCGGUAAUACGGAGGGUGCAAGCGUUAAUCGGAAUUACUGGGCGGAAAGCGCACGCAGGCGGUCUGUCAAGUCGGAUGUGAAAUCCCCGGGCUCAACCUGGGAACUGCAUUCGAAACUGGCAGGCUAGAGUCUUGUAGAGGGGGGUAGAAUUCCAGGUGUAGCGGUGAAAUGCGUAGAGAUCUGGAGGAAUACCGGUGGCGAAGGCGGCCCCCUGGACAAAGACUGACGCUCAGGUGCGAAAGCGUGGGGAGCAAACAGGAUUAGAUACCCUAGUAGUC